GUGGCUUUGGGAAAGAACCCUGAGAGGGAAGGAAAGGGGGCGGGACCGACUGUCAACAAAGGGGGCGUGGUUAUGAAAAACCCUGACAAGGCGGGAAAGGGAGCGCGACUGACUCUCAACAGAGGGGCGUGGCCUUGAAAAAGAACCUUAAGUUAGAACCGACUAUCAACGAAGGGGGCGUGGCUUUGUGUCAGAACCUUGAAGAGAAGCUAAGAAAGGGGGUGUGGCCGGCGGGAGGGAAAAGAGGCGUGGCUACGGAUAAGAGGAAAGAGGCAAUCAGAAAGGGGCGUGGCGAACUCUAAAGAGAAGGCGUGGCUUUGGAGAAGAACGCCGAGGAGAAGGCUAGGCAAGGGGGCGUGGCCGGUGAGGCAGAAAGCGGCGUGGCCGGCGAAGCAGAAAGGGGCGUGGCCUGCGAGGGAGAAAGAGGCGUGGCCGGUGUGGCAGAAAGGGGCGUGGCCUCUCUUCCUCCUCGCCCCCUCCUCCCCCUCCCCCGCGCGCCCUUCCCAGCAUUCCCCGCGCGCGCGACAAUGAAAUUUGCAAAGUUUUUUCGGUUUCGGCGCCAUUUUCGAGUGGAGUCGGAGGGCUUUCUUCAUUAAAUGCAACCAGCAAGGAAUAAAUGCCGGCAAUUCCCUCGUUCCUUGCAAAUCUGUGACGUUUUUGUGAAAAUAUAUUGAAGAAAAGAAAUGCGGGUUGAAGAUUUGCUUUUUUUUCUGAUGCAGAAAGCUCUCCCCAUUCUCUUCUUUGUCAGCACUUUUUAUUGUUCUUUUUUCUAAUGGACCUAAAGCCUUUUUGUUGUUCCUUCUAUAUCUUUUUUAAAAAAGAAAACUUUUCCCUCCGUCUUGAACCUUUGAUACAUGUUAAUCUGCGUUGGCUUUUGCGUUCACUUUCCUGCCUCUUUUUGUCAUUCUUUGUUGUGAUUUAAGACGGAAAACAAUUGCCAGUUCAUCUAUCAAAUAGGUUGGUUCAUCCAUUUGUCUGCCUCUUGAUGAGACGAAUUGCCUCUGACUUCCAAAGUUCCUGUGGCAGCCGAAGAUCCAGUGGCUUUUGCUUUGUAUUCAUUCUUUACAGGUAAGUUUGUUUCAAAGGUGAGGAUCACUGCGGAAAUGAAUGCAGUUUGUCAGCACUUUAACUGCUCAAUGCUAUGGGGGUCCUGGGAGUUGUAGUUUGGCAGGGAAGGCCUAGUGAAACUACAUCUCCCAAUGUUGAGUUAAAUCACAUUAGUUCUACCAUGUAGAUUCUCUUUGAACCCAAAACAAAGUUGGAAUAUAUUAAUAUAUUUGCUUGUCAUGAUAGAAAGACUUAGACUUUGAUGCUCAAAAUACAUCUUUCAAAAAUUAGUGCCUAAAUUGCAUCAGUUUCUAAGACAGUUCUUAGCCCUUUCCAUCCAAGAUAGGAUUAAAAUACAACGUUGUUCUGACUGUAUUAUCUGGAGAUGAUGGGACAACCUUUGGAGUACCGUUCCACCUUUAGGUUUUUACAUUGGCUCAGUUGUGUUUUGGACUGCAGUUCCCAUCAUCCCCCAAGAAGGUGGACCCUAAGUCUUUUAUAGCAGGCACAAAUAUCUACUUGCCAAACCUAUAAACAAAUAUCCCCUUAAUUACAUUAUCUGCGCUGAAAUAUCUUGUUAUUAUAUGUUUAAACAUAAAAUAGUAAUAAUAAUAUAGACUAAAUAUGCUUAGAUUUAAUUGCAAAUGUUUUUAGGAUUCAAAUCCCAGUUCUUAUUCUAUCCUGCCUUUAGAACCAAAACCGGUAAAAUAUAAAGCAAAAGCAGAAAUAUCGAAGCUGGGAGGCCAAGGGUUAAUAAUUUCACUGAACAAAUUUGUAAAUUUAUGGAAAUGGAUGUAAGUGUCCAAAUGUCAAGAAAAGUGCAUUCGUACUGAAUGGAGGUCAUUGUCAAAGCAGAAGUCUGUUCUGAGCCCAUUGUUUACCAGGAGGCAGAGCUGAAUAGUAUGUCGCCUUUUGGCAUCAUAAAUGUUGAAAUUCUGGCCAAAUUGGGGCUCUUUGGGUGGUGUUGGACUAUCAAACCCAUCAGCAAAACAUAUGCGAAAACUAAAUUACCCAGAGGUUUUGUGCAUGAGUUACUUUUAAGAUUACUUUUGGUCCAUCAGCAUCUCAUGGGGUGGGUGAAUCCACAUUGUAGAAUUAAUGUAGUUUCAUACCACUUUUAAUUGCAGUGGCUUAAUGCUAUAGGAACUUGGGAUUUAGUUUGGUGAAGCACCAGGUUUCUUUGACAAAGAAUGCUAAAGACCUUUGGAAAACUACAGAUCCCAUAGCAUUGAGACAUUGCCGUUAAAGUGGUGCCAAACUGCAUUAACUAUACAGUGUAGAUAACCCUCUUUUUCUGUCUUUUGUUUAAAUCUAUCUUUAUUGUUUCUAUAUAUGUCUUUAUAUAUCUCUAUAUCUUUAUUGUUAUUUGUCUAUCCAUCUGUCUGACUGUCUUUAUUGCUUUAUAUAUAUCUAUCUGUCUUUAUUGCUAUCUGUCUUGUUAUCUACCUAUCUAUAGAACAAGAUACUAUGUUAUUAUGAAUAUUAGAUCAGGGGUGCAUCUACACUGUAGAAUUAAUGCAGUUUGAUCGCACUUUAACUGGCAUGGCUCAACUCUAUGGAAUCCUGAGAGUUGCAGUUUUAUAAAAUCUUCAGCCUUCUUUGCCUCAGAAAACUACAACUCCCAGUAUUCAAUAGCAAGGAGCAAGUGUUGCUAAACCGCAUUCAUUCUACCAUGUAGAUGCACCCUCACUUCACGGAGCCGUAGUAUUCACUUUUCUUGCCUUUCCUCUUGCGACGAAUGCCUCCCGGUUCCAGUUUCACUCUUUUUUCUUCUACAAUGGAGGGGGAAACUUUCCAAAUCAUUCUGGACUUUUUGGGGGCUUCAGUUUGCCAGGAGUCCUCAGUCUUGGAUUGUCCUUUGGGCCCGGAGGUGAUGUAGCAGCACAACAUGGUUUGUAGGGACACAGAAGAUACAGACCGUUCUGGGCUGCCUCAUUACCUUUUGGGAUUAAGACACGAAAAGGGAUCUUCUUCCGUUGCCAGGACCAUCAGGUAGGUUCUUGGGCACUUUAUGGCUUGAAACGGCACCAUUCCCCCUCAUUUUGAAAGAACAAAUACAAGAAAACAAAGCAGGGGAAAAUAUCACGGUUGGUUUUCCUUCCUGUCAAAUUAAUGCCCCGGAGUUGCAGUUUGGCAAGUUAGUUGCAGCUCAUUACAAAACGGUAAACUCUCAUAAACCCAUUGAGCUCAAGGGAUGCCGAACUGCAUCUUUUCUACAAUGUAGAUUCACCCUGAAUUUGGAAUAUCAUCCCAUUGAACUCAAUAGGAUUCCAAAUGCAACUGCACUUUUGUACCCCCCCCCCCCUCUGAGACGAAGAGAAAAAUGUUAUGCUUCCUCUGAAAAGGUAGAUUGAGAUCAUGAAAGCUGGGUCUACACUGCCAUAUAAUUGAAUUGCAUUAUAUGGUCAGUGUAGACCCGUGUAAUGCAGUCCAAACGGUCUUCAUUAGCCCUAUAAUGCUGUUUGAACUGCAUUAUAUGGCAGUGUAGACCCAACCGAAAGCACUAUAAGAUCCCUUUGCAUUAUAAAAGGGUCUUGGUAUCUGUUGGGGUUUUAUUUUAUUUUGCUUUAUAUUUGAUCUUACUUUAUUUUAUCUUAUUUUAAUUUACUUGACUUUAUUUUGUUACUAUUUUAUUUUAUCUAAUUUUAAUUUGCUUGACUUUUUUAUUUUUUUAUUUUAAUUUGAGAGGUUUGGAAGCUGACUCCAAAAAGGAGAGAGAGAGAGAGGUUCAAAAACUCAUUUUGUUUUUUUAGAAUUUAAGGGGGGAAAAGGAGACCCCUUUGAAAGUUUAGGGGGUUGGAAUAUUACCCUCCAAAUAUUAUUAAAACAUAUUCUUGUUAUCUUAAGGAAAGGGACAAAAAGAUUACCUGAGCAAAAUUGAUUUCUGGAUUUUGGAGUUUAGGAAGCAAGGAAACCCCUUGUUUAAUCCCUUAUCACUCUGAUACCUAUAUUAAAAAAUUAAAAAAUAUUAACGCUUCCCAGAAAGGGAUGCGUCUGUCCGCCCGGCUCUAGCAGCACGUAAAUACUGGAGUCUAGGAUGAUACAUUUGCCCUCCAGUAUUGCUUUGCUGCUUUAAUCGGGUUUGAUGUUGGCACCAGCCCGGCAAAACAUGGAAAAGGUUUGUUUGUGGCGGCCUGUUUGUUGAUUGGGGAGAAAUAGCUCCAUUGAGAUCCUCAGCUUCAUCGUCUUGUCCAUCCUUCACAUCUUGGUUUAUUGCUUUAUUGUGGGUUGAUGGCCCCUUUAAAUCCCCCUCUGACUCAUGUUCUUUGGGACAAUAUGGUGUAACAUUACACUAAUGCCAUCCCACCACAGAUUAAAGGAACAAUAUAUACAUAUACACAUGCAUAUAUCGACAUACAAAUUACGGGGAAGUUAAACCUUUUCAAGGUCUUAAGCUAACUCAAAGCCAGUCUAAAUGUAUUAUUAUUAUUAUUAAUGUGGCUGUUUAAAAGGAUAAGUCUUUGUCUGAAGCCACUUUGUUUCUCUAUCAAUAAUAAUAAUAGUUUGAGAAGGUCUCAGAGUUUGCACUCAGAUAUGGAAAUCCAUUGGGUGACUUUGGGCAAGUCACACUCUUGGCGUCAAAAGAAGGCAAUGGCAAGUGCUUUCUGACCACACAUUGCCUUUUAAAAAGCCAAUGUGUGAGAGCAAAGCUGGAAUUCAGACACUGAACUGUUUUCAACCUCAGGAGAAGGCAAUGGCAAGCCUUUGAAGCUGGCGGCCAUCAAUCAGAAUCAAAGGUACAUCACAACAAAGGGAUCCUAAUAGCCCAUUACAGCAAUACGGAUCCAAGUGUUAGCAGAUAGAGGAGUAAAGAGGUAAUUAAACCAAAGGUUUAAAAAGUCUGCAUAAAAAAGGUAAGAUUAACCAACACAAAUAUCUAUAACUGCAUAAUACAAUAAGAUCAAAAACAUCAACUUGGAAUGGGUUUAAGGGUUGUUAAAUCCUGGAUCCAGACAUUACAGAACUCUGCAGUGUUAAUUCCCAUAGACGUCAAUUCACUUGUGAAAAUGUAACGGCAUUCUGUCCCCAUCUAAAAAUAUGUUUGCGGCUUUUUAUAAAAACAUAUUUUAAUUGUAGGCUAAAGAAUGGAAAUUGUUGGUUUUGGGUUACGUUCUCCUGGGUUUGCGAUGGUUCCACAUUUUGUCAAUGGAAGGAAGUCCUCCCAAAUUGAGAAAGUCCUGAAAACUCAGAGGUUGCUCCAUGGUUGGGGUUUUUUUUUUUCUUUGCCGCAGAGAAGCACCGCAUGAUGGACUGUUUGUAAUUUGGUGUAUUUUAUCUUGAAACCCCAUUAAAACUCAAACGAAAACUCUGUCCAUAUUGAGAGUUUGCAGAAUUACAAGAGAGAUUUGCCUAAAACACCAUACAAAGUCUAGUUCUUUCAUGCGAAACUGGAGGAAGAAUAGAAAGGCAGGAUAUACACAUCCAAAGAAUUAACAGUUUGGCCUUUUCUACCACAAGUCUGUUGAUAUCUUUGCAUAUCUCCAGUUUGGGAAGCUAGGGUAUUGUCUUGUGUAUGACUCUUGGUGAAACCUUUCAAAUAACUCCUGGAAAACUUACAGCAGUUUGGGAAACUCCCAAUUUAGGAGGACAUAAUACCGAUCUGUGGGAAGAUCCUUAUGUUGUCGAAGGCUUUCAUGGCCGGAAUCACUGGAUUGCUGUGAGUUUAUGGGCUGUACAGCCAUGUUGCAGAAGCAUUCUCUCCUGAUGUUUCACCCACAUCUAUGGCAGGCAUCCUCAGAGGCUGUAAUGUCUGUUGGGGACAAGGCAUGUGGGGUUUAUAUAUCUGUGGAAUAAUGUCCAGGGCGAGAGAGAGAAAACUGUUGGAGGCAAGUGUGAAUGUUGCAGUUAAUCACCUUCAUUAGCAUUGAAUGGCCUUAUAGCUUCAAAAUCUGGCUGCUUCCUACCUGGGAAUCCUUUGUUGGGAGGUGUUCGCUUGAUUGUUUCAUGUCUGGAAUUCCCGUGUUUUCUGAGUACUGUAUUGUUCUUUACUGUCCUGAUCUUAAGAGUUUUUUAAUAUUAGUAGCCAAACUUCGAUCAUUUUGAUGUCUGAAAAUCAGGACAGUAAAUAAAGAACAAUACUCCGAAAACGGGAGAAUUCCAGACAUGAAACAAUCAAGGCCAGCUAACACCUCCCAACAAAGGAUUCCCCCAGGCAGGAAAUAGCCAGGCUUUGAAGCUGCAAGGCUUUUCAAUGCUAAUCAAGGUGAUUAAUUGCAACAUUCACACUUGCCUCCAACAGACAAGAGUUCUUUCUCCCACCCUGGACAUUCCACGCAUGCAUAAACCUCCCUUGCUUAGUUUCCAAAAUACCUCACAACCUCUGAGGAUGCCUGCCAUAGAUGUGGGUGAAACGUCAGGAGAGAAUGCUUCUGGAAGAUGGCCAUGCAGCCUGGAAAACUCACAGCAACCCAGUGAUUAUGACCACGAAAGCCUUCUGCAACAUGUUGGGAAAAUCUUUGAAAUAAGUCCUGGAAACCUUGCAUCAAGUUUGGAAACGCCCAAUUUAGGAGGGCAUCAUAAUAUGGAUUUGUGGGAAGAUCCUUCCUUGCUUGAGGAGGGCGGUGUUCCUUUAAUGCAAAGGAUUGGUAUUAAAUAUCUCUUGGAAAGCAAGGGCAAUUCAUACAACUGGAAGGGAUCCCCAAAGGCCAUCCAGCCCAGCCCUCUUUUCUACGGGGAAAGGAGAGACAAGACAAGCCAUCCAGCUUUUGAUUAAAGACACUCCAGAGAAGACAUUCCACUUCUCAACAUCUGCAGCUGUCAAAAAAAGCCUUGAAAAGUAGCAAAAGUCUCCUACGUUUAACCCCAAAGACAAAUAUAAAUGCUUAGCAGCAGCCCCUUUCCCUUAUUCCUGGGUGAUUCCAUGGGACCCAAACUUGGCACCUGUUUCCCUUCCCAUUUGCGCCCCGACGCGCUCCAGGAAUAGGAGCUUUUCCCGGCUUUUCCUUUUGUGGCGACUUUAUACUAAAUGUGGGCGACAAUCCUAUUGGCAUGGGCUCUAGUUCCCCCUUGGAACCCUCCUCCGGGUUUUAGUUCUGUGGGAAAGAGCUUUCCAAGUCUCCAUCCUGGGGAGAUAAGUUGCAAAAUGCCAGCUGGUUCUAAUGCGCGAAUAAGAAAAGCACUCAAACCUUUCUCCCUCUUUCCCUGGAAAGUGAGGCUUGGAGCGGCUUUGCUUUCCUUGGCGGAAGGGCUGGGUUAGUAAGCUGUCGCUUGGAGCGUGAUGAUCCCGAAAGAGCUUAGCAUUGGGAAAUGAAAGGAGAGAGAUGCGUAAAGCGCGCAAAAGCCGCCUCCGCUUUCUGUCCGCUAUGUCUCCGAAUUUUGCGUCGGAGGGAGAGGAGGAUACGUUUGGAUGAAGCUCUGCAUCCUCAUCUUGGAUGGCGAAAGAACACCCCCAACUCCCUCCCCGAAAUCCUUGCUCUCCUGAAGUCGGAAGAUGAGAGGAGAUGGUGCCAAGGAGGGGCAUUUGUGCGCCUUUGGGGGUCCUCUUCUGUCCCGAAGCUGAGCCUUACCCACUUGCUACUUUUAUGGGGUUAGAAAGAGAAGGAAUGGGCUGCUGUGGGUAUUCUGGGCUUUCUGGCCAUGUUCCAGAAGCAUACUCUCCUGACGUUUUGCCCACAUUUAUGGCACGCAUCCUCAGAGGUUGUGAAGUCUGUUGGAAACUGGGCAAAUGGUUUAUACAUCUGUGGGAGAAAGAACUUGUGUUGUCAAAGGCUUUCAUGGCCGGGAUCACAGGGUUGUUGUAUGUUUUCCGGGCUGUAUGGCCAUGUUCCAGAAGUCUUCUCUCCUGACGUUUCGCCCACAUCUAUGGCAGGCAGCCUCACAACCUCUGAGGAUGCCUGCCAUAGAUGUGGGCGAAACGUCAGGAGAGAAUACUUCUGUAACAUGGCCAUACAGCCCGGAAAACAUACUAUUUAUUUGUUUAUUUAUUUCUAGAAUUUAUAUCCCGCUCUUCUCACCCGGGGGGACUCAGGGCAGCUUACACAGUUGGCAACAUUUAAUGCCAAGAACAUAAUAAAACAAAAACAGUACAUAUAAUCAAUUAAAACUAUAAAAAUACAUUAUAAAAAUUAAAACAUAUGUAAAUUAGAUCCAUUUGUCUAAAAACCUCAUGCUUCAGCCUUCAAUCGGACCAUGUCGACGUUAUAAUAUUACUCGUUAAAAGCUUGUGCACACAGCCAUGUUUUCACAGCCUUUCUGAAACCCAGAAGAGUUGGGGCUUGUCGGAUAUUUGUGGGGAGGGUGUUCCACAGCCGGGGAGCCACCACCGAGAAGGCCUUGUCCCUCGUUCCCACAACCCAAAGAACUCUUUGUUUCAUGCGGAUAUGAAUGUUGCAGUUGGCCCGCUAGAUUAGCAUUGAAUAGCCUUGCAGCUUCAAAGCCUGGCUGCUUCCUGCCUGGGGGAAUCCUUUGUUGGGAGGUGUUAGCUGGCCCUGAUUGUUUCCUGUCUGGCAUUCCCGAUUUCUGAGUGUUGCUCUUUCUUUACUGUGCCAAAUUAGAGGUUUUUAAAAUACAAUAGAGUCUCACUUAUCCAAGCUAAACAGGCCGUGAGAAGCUUGGAUAAGCGAAUAUCUUGGAUAACAAGGAGGGAUUAAGGAAAAGCCUACUAAACAUCAAAUUAGGUUAUGAUUUUAUAAAUUAAGCACCAAAAUAUGUUAUACAACAAAUUUGACAGAAAAAGUAGUUCAAUAUGCAGUAAUGUUAUAUUGUAAUUACUGUAUUUACGAAUUUAGCUCCGAAAUGUCAUGAUAUAUUGAAAACAUUGGCUUCAAAAAUGGCUUGGAUAAGUGAGAGACUACUGUACUGGUAGCCAGACUGUUCAUUAUCAUUGUUUCCUCCUUUCUGUUGAAAUUGUCCACAUGCUUGUGGACUUCAAUAGCUUCUCUCUGUAGCCUGACAUCGUGGCUGUUGGGAGUGGUACAGCAGUAUUAUAUUCUCAAAUAAUAUGUUGUGUUCACGCCAUGAAAGCCUUCGACAACACAUAGGUUGAAUUGGUUGAGACCCUAUGAGAUAUUCAUUGAAAACCCGGAACAAAAUGUGCUAAUGAUGUCCCACAAAAACAAGUUUUUGCAGUUUAAUAAAGUUUCCACAUUUGUAUGAUAGAACCAAUUCAGAAAUGACAUUUAUAACCCAGGAACAACAAUCGUGUUACAUAGUGUAAUGUUUUUCUUCAUUUGAGUCCCCUGGGAUUGAGAGGGGGGAAUACAAAUAAAGUCAUUAUUAUUAUUA
Long non-coding RNA from Anolis carolinensis (green anole), 9270 nucleotides. RefSeq lists it as uncharacterized. NCBI's taxonomy places the organism in Eukaryota, Metazoa, Chordata, Lepidosauria, Squamata, Anolidae. The transcript has 4 exons. The record is from RefSeq and is a predicted model, not a curated record.